UACGUAGGGUGCAAGCGUUGUCCGGAAUUAUUGGGCGUAAAGAGCUCGUAGGCGGCCUGUCACGUCGGCUGUGAAAACCCGGGGCUCAACCCCGGGCCUGCAGUCGAUACGGGCAGGCUAGAGUCCGGCAGGGGAGACUGGAAUUCCUGGUGUAGCGGUGAAAUGCGUAGAUAUCGGGAGGAACACCAGUGGCGAAGGCGACUACCUGGCCUGUUCUUGACGCUGAGGCGCGAAAGCUAGGGUAGCAAACGGG
This 253-nucleotide ribosomal RNA is filed under the name uncultured bacterium. RNAcentral's name for it is "partial 16S ribosomal RNA". It matches the Rfam family "Bacterial small subunit ribosomal RNA", at positions 524 to 776 of the family's 1533-position model. The record is from RNAcentral.